RNAcentral lists this transfer RNA (72 nucleotides) under Nicotiana sylvestris (wood tobacco). It matches the Rfam family "tRNA". From Rfam's summary of the family: Transfer RNA (tRNA) molecules are approximately 80 nucleotides in length. Lineage: Eukaryota; Viridiplantae; Streptophyta; Magnoliopsida; Solanales; Solanaceae. The record is from Rfam by way of RNAcentral. RNAcentral also lists the same sequence under 1 other name.
GGGGAUGUAGCUCAGAUGGUAGAGCGCUCGCUUAGCAUGCGAAAGGUAUGGGGAUCGGUACCCGCAUCUCCA